This 292-nucleotide ribosomal RNA is filed under the name uncultured bacterium. RNAcentral describes it as "partial 16S ribosomal RNA". It matches the Rfam family "Archaeal small subunit ribosomal RNA", at positions 455 to 747 of the family's 1478-position model. The record is from RNAcentral.
GUGCCAGCCGCCGCGGUAAUACCGGCAGCUCGAGUGAUGGCCACUCUUAUUGGGCCUAAAGCGUCCGUAGCUGGCCGCGCAAGUCCGUCGGGAAAUCCAUCAGCCUAACUGAUGGGCGUCCGGCGGAAACUGCACGGCUUGGGACCGGAAGGCUCGAGAGGUACGUCCGGGGUAGGAGUGAAAUCCCGUAAUCCCGAACGGACCACCGAUGGCGAAAGCACUUCGAGAAAACGGAUCCGACAGUGAGGGACGAAAGCCAGGGUCUCCAACCGGAUUAGAAACCCGUGUGUCC